GUCGAGCGAGAAGUCUAAGAUUGAAACUUCGGUCGAUUUCUUAGAUGGAAAGCGGCGCAAGGGAGAGUAACGCGUAGUUAUCUGCCCCAAGGUCCGGAAUAGCCUCGGGAAACUGAGGGUAAUGCCGGAUAAUAUCCCCGGAUCAAAGGCGUGAUUCCGCCUUGGGAGGAGACUGCGUUGUAUAGCUUGUUGGUGGGGUAAUGGCCUACCAAGGCGAUGAUGCAUAGCGGGCGUGAGAGCGUGGCCCGUCUCACUGGGACUGAGACACUGCCCAGACACCUACGGGUGGCUGCAGUCGAGAAUCUUCGGCAAUGGGCGAAAGCCUGACCGAGCGAUGCCGCGUGUGGGAUGAAGGCCUUCGGGUUGUAAACCGCUGUCAGUUGGGAGGAAGGCUCCGUGAAGAGCGGAGCUUGACCUAUCUUCAGAGGAAGUCCGGGCUAAGUUCGUGCCAGCAGCCGCGGUAAUACGAACCGGACAAACGUUAUUCGGAAUUAUUGGGCUUAAAGGGUGCGUAGGCGGCGCGGUAAGUGAGGUGUGAAAUCCCACGACUCAAUCGUGGAACUGCGCUUCAUACUGCCGUGCUAGAGGGAGACAGGGGUAAGCGGAACUGAUGGUGGAGCGGUGAAAUGCGUUGAUAUUAUCAGGAAC
This 648-nucleotide ribosomal RNA is filed under the name uncultured bacterium. RNAcentral's name for it is "bacterial SSU rRNA". It matches the Rfam family "Bacterial small subunit ribosomal RNA", at positions 61 to 707 of the family's 1533-position model. The record is from RNAcentral.